UCCAAUAAGACCACCAAUUAUAUGCCUUUCAAAGGAUGUCAUCUUCUGAAAGCGUUCCACAUGGCUAUAAUUUUAUUACCUCUGGUUGAAGUAGUCACAGACCAAACUAAACGGAACUGGACCAAGGGAAGAGGACACAGAAGGUAAAAGGAAGCCAGACCAGCGUGUUCUCCCACUCUAGUCCUCCUACCAAGAGGCUUUGAUAAGCAAUCACAAUUGUCCCCAGUGACAUGAAAGAAAAAGUGAAGCAUCCUGUAGGGAUGCAUAGCAUGACAUCUACAUAGACUUGGGUCAUGGAAGGAAACUGUCACCACAUACAAGUUCAAGGGAAAUGUUCAGCCUCCAGGCCACUGAAUGAAGCUCUGCCCAGGCCUUAGGAAAAGGUGAAACCCCAACUGGCAGGAGCCCCAGUUCACCAUAUCCAGGAAGGUGUCCUUGAACCAGAAAUACCCACGUUGUACUCCGACAUGAACAAGAAAUAGAUUUCUAUUAUAUUAAGCAACAGAAAAUUUCAGAUAUAUUAGUUCUCGCAGCAGGAAGGAUGUAUUGAUAAUGGCAACAUGGAUGGAGCUCAAAACAUCACAUUUAAUGAAAAAAGAGACUUACAUAAAAAAUUAUAGACUAUAUUAUUACAUUCAAAUGAAGUUCAAGAACAAGCAAAAGUUGUGGAAAAAUAUCAGAAAACUUGCUUCCACUGGAGGGGUAGGACGGGAUUUGACUGGGAAGAGGCCUAGGGGAACAUGCUGGAAUGAUAUUAGUGUUCUAUUUCUUGAUGGAGGUUUGGGUUCCACAGGUGUAUGUAUUUGCAAAAGUUAGCAAAUGUAGAGUUAAGGUUUGUGUUCUUCCUUGUGCAAUACAUUUUACACCAAAGGGAAGGCUGUAAACAAAUAUUGAACUGUAGUUAAUCAUAUGU
This 913-nucleotide long non-coding RNA is filed under the name Pan troglodytes (chimpanzee). Its description in RNAcentral is "lincRNA". Lineage: Eukaryota; Metazoa; Chordata; Mammalia; Primates; Hominidae. The record is from RNAcentral.